Molecule: ribosomal RNA, 274 nt
Filed under: uncultured bacterium
Lineage: Bacteria
Description: partial 16S ribosomal RNA
Rfam family: Bacterial small subunit ribosomal RNA
Source: RNAcentral
UACGGAGGGUGCGAGCGUUAAUCGGAAUUACUGGGCGUAAAGCGCACGUAGGCGGCUUGGUAUGUCGGGUGUGAAAUCCCCGGGCGUCAACCUGGGAACGUGCAUCCGAAACUAGCCUUGCUAGAGUAUGGGAGAGGGAAGUGGAAUUUCCGGUGUAGCGGUGAAAUGCGUAGAUAUCGGAAGGAACAUCAGUGGCGAAGGCGACUUCCUGGACCAAUACCGACGCUCAGGUGCGAAAGCGUGGGGAGCAAACAGGAUUAGAUACCCGUGUAGU